This 375-nucleotide ribosomal RNA is filed under the name Salmonella enterica. Its description in RNAcentral is "bacterial SSU rRNA". It matches the Rfam family "Bacterial small subunit ribosomal RNA", at positions 108 to 479 of the family's 1533-position model. The record is from RNAcentral. Lineage: Bacteria; Pseudomonadati; Pseudomonadota; Gammaproteobacteria; Enterobacterales; Enterobacteriaceae. RNAcentral also lists the same sequence under 2 other names.
GAGUAAUGUCUGGGAAACUGCCUGAUGGAGGGGGAUAACUACUGGAAACGGUGGCUAAUACCGCAUAACGUCGCAAGACCAAAGAGGGGGACCUUCGGGCCUCUUGCCAUCAGAUGUGCCCAGAUGGGAUUAGCUUGUUGGUGAGGUAACGGCUCACCAAGGCGACGAUCCCUAGCUGGUCUGAGAGGAUGACCAGCCACACUGGAACUGAGACACGGUCCAGACUCCUACGGGAGGCAGCAGUGGGGAAUAUUGCACAAUGGGCGCAAGCCUGAUGCAGCCAUGCCGCGUGUAUGAAGAAGGCCUUCGGGUUGUAAAGUACUUUCAGCGGGGAGGAAGGUGUUGUGGUUAAUAACCGCAGCAAUUGACGUUACC